This 253-nucleotide ribosomal RNA is filed under the name uncultured bacterium. Its description in RNAcentral is "partial 16S ribosomal RNA". It matches the Rfam family "Bacterial small subunit ribosomal RNA", at positions 524 to 776 of the family's 1533-position model. The record is from RNAcentral.
UACAGGGGGGGCAAGCGUUGUUCGGAAUUACUGGGCGUAAAGGGUUCGUAGGUGGCCACUUAAGUCAGACGUGAAAUCCCUCAGCUUAACUGGGGAACUGCGUCUGAUACUGAGUGGCUUGAGUGCAGGAGAGGGAUGCGGAAUUCCAGGUGUAGCGGUGAAAUGCGUAGAUAUCUGGAGGAACACCGGUGGCGAAGGCGGCUUCCUGGACCGACACUGACGCUGAGGCGCGAAAGCUAGGGGAGCAAACGGG